This 797-nucleotide long non-coding RNA is filed under the name Vitis vinifera (wine grape). Its description in RNAcentral is "long non-coding RNA (VVIN_LNC003740)". Lineage: Eukaryota; Viridiplantae; Streptophyta; Magnoliopsida; Vitales; Vitaceae. The record is from RNAcentral.
UUUGAACUACUUGCAUAACCCAGAAGGGUUAAAGGUUGUUCAGACUGAUAAAAUCCAGUGUUCCGUUUCCCGCACAUGAUCUCAAGUACAACAGUACCACCAAAGCAGAAAACAUUGGAUUGAAGAGAAAAGAAGCCAUAUAGUGCAUACUCUGGAGACAUAUGGCCACUGCAUUUCACCAUAAGUGAUAUUAGGUAUGCAAAUUCUUUUUGAAACACAGUUGGGGAAUCGAAAUUAUGCUUUCUUACUAAGUUAAUUCCAACUAUUCCAGCAGUAUAAUUGAUCGCGGAGCCAUGUUAAAAAUCUCUUAUCUUUUCUUUAUUUUCAUGUGUAUGGUUUGGUUAAUGCAGGAGAUCUCUAUCCAAUCUGCAUUUCGCUCAACCAUCCGGCAUCAGAAAAUGGAUACAAACUAGAAGUACUCUGCUCUUCCCAGCCAUGCAGCCGCUUGUCACCAAAAAUGGUAAGUCCUGGUUGAACUCCAGAAGUCUGUUCAUGGGAGAAAUUCUUCUACAUCCCAAAAAAAUCUCCACCAUUCCACUUUCUUGGAAAAUUUGGUUGGAAUCCUGGCAAACACUUGCACAAAAUCCAAUUUCUACAAUUUUAGCUGGCAAAACUCCCACGGGGAUUAUUCCCACUGCACCUAUCUUUUGGUUUGUGGAAAAGCGAAUACCAAGAGGCCGUCUCAUUACGGAACUGUAGAUGCUGUAUCUCCCAGGAAAAUUUCAUCGCCAGCCUCCUAUAAUCAAGAGAGGCUGUAUCUUGAAAGUGAUAAUCAUAUCCUCCAAGUGAGCUUUUUC